RNAcentral lists this ribosomal RNA (253 nucleotides) under uncultured bacterium. RNAcentral describes it as "partial 16S ribosomal RNA". It matches the Rfam family "Bacterial small subunit ribosomal RNA", at positions 524 to 776 of the family's 1533-position model. The record is from RNAcentral.
UACGUAGGUGACAAGCGUUGUCCGGAUUUACUGGGCGUAAAGAGCGCGCAGGCGGUCGAUCAAGUCGAGUGUGAAAGCCCCCGACUCAACUGGGGAGGGUCAUUCGAUACUGAUCGACUCGAAGGCAGGAGAGGGUAGUGGAAUUCCCGGUGUAGUGGUGAAAUGCGUAGAUAUCGGGAGGAACACCAGUGGCGAAGGCGACUACCUGGCCUGUUCUUGACGCUGAGGCGCGAAAGCUAGGGGAGCAAACGGG